RNAcentral lists this ribosomal RNA (1331 nucleotides) under Triticum aestivum (bread wheat). Its description in RNAcentral is "partial small subunit ribosomal RNA". The record is from RNAcentral. Lineage: Eukaryota; Viridiplantae; Streptophyta; Magnoliopsida; Poales; Poaceae.
CAGACCCUCGUGGUAUGACAAAACCACGACAACGAAGAUAUUAAUGAGACUUUAAAAGGUUUUUUCGUUCAAAUUAUGAGGUUUUCCCCUUUUUGUUUGUUUGGUAUCUAGAAUAGAGAUCCAACGAAUUGGUACUUUGUUACAUAGAAGACGUUGCAUGAGGACGUAAAUCAUCAUCAUUACGGUAGAUCUAUUAGGAUCUAUUACGUUCUCAUCAUCAUUGACUUUGAAGAACACUUAAAUUGACUUUGAAGACGUAAACAUGAGACAUUCUAAGAUCGAUAUCUCUAUUUUACGAGGAAGUAAACUAAUCGUAAAUUGUUGUCAUUGCAAAUCUAACCAACGUUGUUUGUUUUAUGUCUAUAUAGUUACUCAUUUAAAGAAUAAUUAUACCAGGCCAACGUUGUUUUUUUUAAUUUUGUUCCAUGACCAUGAGUAAACCAGUUAGACGAUGACAUGAGUAAACUGUCUAAACAUAAAACUGUAUUAGGUAAAGUAUCACUACAAAGAACUGUGUGUUCACUAUGACACGUCUGUUCGCUGUUAAGAAGACACGUCAUCCUCAUGUUAUGAGACAUAAAACUGUUUGUUCACGUCGUAGAGUACACACUAAUACGUAAAUAGAUUUAGAUACGUAAAUUAACUUAGAUACGGCUUAAAUUGACUAGGGACAUGACUAUGAGGUCAGACAAACGUCUUAAAUGUCAUUUUAAAUGAGGUCCCUCGUUCUAGUGUAAUGACGUCAAUCCCCGCUCCGUUCCUCUUGGACGGACCUCUGGUGCACGACGCAUCACUGCUCAGUCCACCCAACCCGUGCCGCUCCUGGUUCGACUCCCCCGCCGCUGGUUCGACCCGCGCCGCCGCUGGUUCGACUCCGCCUCCGCUGGUUCGACUCCGCCUCCGCUGGUUUGACCCACGGACCCGCGCCCCGGCUCGCGGACCUUUGUCCCGGCUCGCGGACCUACUACCCCUGCUACGCACGAGCACCUCCUCCCCCUGCUGCGUUCGAUGACCUCCUCCCCCUGCCGCGUUCGAAGACCUCCUUCUGCUGCUGUGCUCGAGGACCUCCUUCUGCUGCCGUGCUCGAGGACCUCCUACCCCUGCUGCGCUCGAGGACCUCCUACCCCUGCUGCGCUCGAGGACUCCCUACCCCUGCCGCGCUCGAGGACCCCCUUCCCCUGCCGCGCUCGAGGACCCCCUACCCCUGCCGCGCUCGAGGACCUCCUCCUUCUGCUGCGCUUAAGUUUAGCUCCCAUUUUUCCAGAUUAAGCGGUAAACAGCCGACACAGGAUUUUAACAUUUGCGAGAAUAUUUUCAAAUGUCUCCCUCAU